This is a long non-coding RNA of Solea solea (common sole), 1021 nucleotides long. RefSeq lists it as uncharacterized. The record is from RefSeq and is a predicted model, not a curated record. Lineage: Eukaryota; Metazoa; Chordata; Actinopteri; Pleuronectiformes; Soleidae. The transcript is spliced from 4 exons.
CUAGUAUUCAGAUCUAUUACGAACACAUUUACAACUGACUUGUUGGAUUCAACAUCUUCUGCAUUUAAACAACGUAAAUCUACAAUAACUGAACAGCUUACACCUGUCUUCAAGGAAUUUAGGUCUUUUCGUAGCUUGGAAGUAGUGGCAUUCGCAAAUGGAUCAGUCGUCAACUUUGCACGUCUUCAGUUCUUAAGCUCAUCUGCUCCGAACAACUCUCAGAUUGCAAGUGUUUUGAUAAAUGCAGCUCAAAACGUCACUGGUUUUGACAUUGAAACCAGCUCCAUCAUCAUUGAUGGCAUACCUUCAAGUGGCGUAAGCCAACACAUCAGCCUCGUCACUGCAUUCUUCCUGGUGCUUUUAUCAAGGCUACUGUCAAAUCAGCAAUAGCAUUUAUGCUGAUUCCCUUUUGACUUGCUAUGAGUAUAUGACUGUCAUUGUUGGAAUGAAAAGGAAUCCCAAAGUAGUGUUCGUUUUAUGGUUUAAACACCUUGUGAUCUCACCACCAUGUUCAACUUUGCACUGGUCAGACACUUUAAUGACAAUGGAUUACAGAUAUCAUUCAAAGUGACUAUGUUUCUGAGUGGAAAUGUCAAUGAUCAUGGGCAGAAUUACAAAGCCAACUUCAAGGUUUUGUUGCACCAAAUCAUUACUGCAAUAACACUGUGAGUAAAAUAAUAUACGCAAUGAUAUUUAAAACACUGGGAUGAUGGAAAAUGUACACAAAUGUAUUUAUUGAAUAUUAAAAUGAAAACUGUUCUUACUUAAGGACAGUUUUCAUGUUAAUAUUCAAAGGCAUGAAAAAUAUAUGGCUAGGUUUUACUUCACUAUCAGCUGCAGAGUCAGCAUAUUGUUUUAAAGGGAAAGGGCAUCUAAAUGUUGUUUUAUAUAUGUAUGAAUUAUACAUAUGUGUAAUUUUAAUUAUUUAUACAUUGCUGUAUUCUGUGAGACUUCCUGUCGUUUUUACAGUUUCUGUCAGAAAAUGUACAAUGAUCAGAAUACAACAAUUUGAAGUGAAAAA